UGAGGAAUAUUGCACAAUGGGCGCAAGCCUGAUGCAGCAACGCCGCGUGCGGGACGAAGGCCUUCGGGUCGUAAACCGCUUUUCUGGGGGAGGAGCAAGGACGGUACCUCAGGAAUAAGUCUCGGCUAACUACGUGCCAGCAGCCGCGGUAAAACGUAGGACGCGAGCGAUACCCGGAUUUACUGGGCGUCAAGCGCACGCAGGCGGCUCUGUUAGUCGGACGUGAAAGCUCUCGGCUUAACCGGGAGAGGCCGUUCGAGACUGCGGGGCUGGAGGUAGGGAGAGGAAUGCGGAAUUCCCGGUGUAGUGGUGGAAUGCGUAGAUAUCGGGAGGAACACCUGUGGCGAAAGCGGCAUUCUGACCCUCACCUGACGCUGAGGUGCGAAAGCGUGGGUAGCAAACA
RNAcentral lists this ribosomal RNA (403 nucleotides) under uncultured bacterium. RNAcentral describes it as "bacterial SSU rRNA". It matches the Rfam family "Bacterial small subunit ribosomal RNA", at positions 355 to 774 of the family's 1533-position model. The record is from RNAcentral.